UGAGGAACAUGACUUUCGGCGGGGGAUAGCCGGCCCAACGGCCGGGUAAUACCGCGUACGACCUUUUGGGGACAUCCCUGAGUGGUGAAAGCAGCAAUGCGCCGAUGGAGUGCCUCGCGGCCUAUCAGCUAGUUGGUGAGGUAACGGCUCACCAAGGCAACGAUGCGUAGCCGACCUGAGGAGGGUGAUCGGCCACAUUGGAGCUGAGACACGGUCCAGACCUCGUACGGGGA
RNAcentral lists this ribosomal RNA (233 nucleotides) under uncultured bacterium. Its description in RNAcentral is "partial 16S ribosomal RNA". It matches the Rfam family "Bacterial small subunit ribosomal RNA", at positions 118 to 347 of the family's 1533-position model. The record is from RNAcentral.